GAAUCUCUUGAGAGCACAAGAUUCCUUGGAACUCCAGUCCACACAGAUCAUUGUAAUAUGAUGGGGACUCAACUUUUAUUCCCCAUCAGUUCUAAAAGGAUCACGUACACUCUCGGAGAACAAAGAAUACCCACCACCACCACCACUCCAAGGUUUCUUCUUUCCUAAUUAGCUGUGUUUGGAGUUCAACAAGAAAAUCCCUCCAGGAACUCCUGGAGGCUGUGCAUUUACGCAGCUUGGAAAACGGCAAGAGAUACAGAGGAGCGGGUCUUAAACAGAAAUCCUAGCCUGAAGUCUGCCGUUAAGUUGUCUAACCUCUAUCAGUCACAACUAUCGAAUGCAUUCAUAACACCACAGUGUUUGGAACGCAAGAUCUAGAGAGAGCGCCAAGGAGCGCGCAAGGACGCCGCGGGCCUGGGCCCGCGCGUGCAAGCUAGGAUAGCUUG
RNAcentral lists this long non-coding RNA (446 nucleotides) under Marmota monax (woodchuck). The record is from RNAcentral. Lineage: Eukaryota; Metazoa; Chordata; Mammalia; Rodentia; Sciuridae.